This 253-nucleotide ribosomal RNA is filed under the name uncultured bacterium. RNAcentral describes it as "partial 16S ribosomal RNA". It matches the Rfam family "Bacterial small subunit ribosomal RNA", at positions 524 to 776 of the family's 1533-position model. The record is from RNAcentral.
UACGUAGGGCGCAAGCGUUGUCCGGAAUUAUUGGGCGUAAAGAGCUCGUAGGCGGCUUUCUAAGUCAGGGGUGAAAUCCUGGAGCUCAACUCCAGAACUGCCUUUGAUACUGGAGAGCUAGAGUCCGGAAGAGGUGAGUGGAACUGCGAGUGUAGAGGUGAAAUUCGUAGAUAUUCGCAAGAACACCAGUGGCGAAGGCGGCUCGCUGGUCCGGUACUGACGCUGAGGUGCGAAAGCGUGGGGAGCAAACAGG